RNAcentral lists this long non-coding RNA (10026 nucleotides) under Cicer arietinum (chickpea). RNAcentral's name for it is "long non-coding RNA (CARI_LNC001833)". Lineage: Eukaryota; Viridiplantae; Streptophyta; Magnoliopsida; Fabales; Fabaceae. The record is from RNAcentral.
UGGUGGCAUAGUGAGCUUAGGCAUAGAUGGAAUGGUAGGGAAUGGAGGAAGAUUUGCUUGAGGCAAUGUUGGAAUUGAAGGCAAAGGUGGCAAUGUUGUUGUGGGAUUUGGCAAAGUGGGAAUGUUAGGCAAAUUUGGUUGUGUUGUUGUUUGCAAAAGAUGGCGAGCUUCAAGGCUUAUCAUGUUCAUGCUUGAGAUGGUCACAAGAAAAAGUAAAGAUGUGAUGAAGGAUUUGUUUGAUGCCAUUGAUGAUGAACUGUAUUUGUAUUGAGAGAAUUUGGUUUGGGAUUGAAUGAGAAACAAAGGGAUAUUGGAUGGUCUUAUAUAGAAAAAGAGAAAUUUGAAGGAGGGUAUUUUGGAGAACCAUAAAAGCUUUUGCAAUAUUUAGUUAGUUCAACUUCUUGUGUUUCACUUUGACUAAAGCAUUUUAUGUGGUUAAACUGGUUAGCUACUACUAUUACUAUUAGUUAUGACCCCCAAAACAUUCAAAUGUAUGAUGGCCAUGGCCAACUCUUUCUGUUUUUUAUUUUAAAAACUUUAAAUGUACUUUUAUUCAUUUUAUUUUGUUCAAAAUAAAUUUUUAGGUUUUUUUUUUAUUUUUAAAUUUAUCUCUUUAUUUCAUGUUUCAUUGGUCUCUUUUAUUUUUUAGGAGGUGACAUAUUCAUUAAUAACAUAGUGGUGAUGUGGUAAAACUGAAUUGGAUAAAAUUGAAUAUUUGUUAUUAAUUAAUACUCAUUUCAUGAUUAUUUAUUCGACAAAUUUCACGAAUACAUUUGUUAGUAACAACGUAAACAAAGAUUAUAAAAAAGAAAAGAAUAUUAAUUACAAUUUUAUUUUAUUUAAUUUAAUUGUGUCAAAUUAAUAUUACGUCAUUAAUAAAAAUAUCACAUAGAAAAACAGAGGCACGAAUCAAAUUUCACAAAUUGUAUAACAGACCAAAAAUCCAAUUAAAAAAGAGAUAGAUUAUAAUUAUUGAAUAAUUUUGAAAAGUGCGAGAGGAUAAAAUGACAAAUGUUAAUACAUAAUAGUUUUUAUGGAUUUGGUGACCAAGAAAAAUGUUGUUGCAACACAGGAUGUGAUGUGUAAGAGUUGGUAAUCUAGUUGGGUUCCCCUGUUUCCAAAACUCACUUAACAGCUAUAACCAUUUUACCAUUUCACAUCAACAAUUAGUUAUAACCUCCCAAACAUUCAAAUGUAUGUAUGAUGGCCAACUCUUUCUGUUUUUUAUUUUAAAACAUUUAUAUGUAUUUUUAGUUAUUUUAUUUUGCUCAAUAAUUAACUUGCUUAUUUUAAUCUAAAAUUGUUCAUGGGUACUAAAUUUGUCACCGGUACGGUAUAGAUAAAAUUAACAAAUGCGAAGGUAAAUAUACUGAUAUUUAUAUCUACAAUCAUCCAUGCUCGUUAAAUUUUUAUAUAAAAUUACCAUGUUUUAAUGCAUUUUGUUCAUGUGUUGAUGUAGUAAUACUUUUUGUGUUGUCAAUAAAGGAAAAAGAUCUACAUAACUGCAAAAUAAUAAUAAUUUUUGUAUUUUAAAUAAUUUUUUUAUUUAAAAGAUAUGUGAACAUAUUCGCUAAUACAUGUAGAUAGUAAUAGUUCGUUAAAUCUUGUUUAGUGGAUAUUUGUCUGGAUAUGGAUAAAACAUGGAUAUUAUUCUUAAAAAAUAUAUUGAAAGAAGGAUUGUGAAGGAUUUUUUUAGAAUUUAAAUAAAUUAUUCAAAUGUUUUCUAUGUUUUUAAAAUACUCUGAAAAUUUAAAAUUCAUUAAUCAUAAAUAUUCACGAUUUAUCUGUUUUCCGUUUUCAACAAACUCUCAAACGGAGCAUUAGAAAAUAAUGUCUUUCUUUAAUUACGAGAUGUUGUGCAGCCUGUGCUCAUUGUGUUGCUAAAGUAAGUGCUUGUAUGCAAGAUGCCAUACACUAAUAACAAAUUAAGGUAAGCUAGAGCUUUAGCUCACACUAAAAUAAAAAAAUAAAGCAUUUUGAGGCAUUGAAGAAACACUGAAAAAGGUGACAUGUGGAACUUUUUGUAAAUGAAAGGAUGCAAAGAGAGAUGUAUGCACUAGGCUGAGUAAUAUUUAGUAGAUGGCUGCUUAAUUAAUGUUUGUGGUUUAUUUAAUUUUGUGAGCUAAUAGGCUAAACCUCACGCUUGGGAUGGACAAAGUAGUAAAUAGAAAAGCUAUGGGCUUGUGAUGAAGUGAAAGAACUAGAGUGAACAUGCCAUGACUAAAUGAAUUGUAAGGUAGAAGAAUAAUUUGUAAGGAUCAUCCAACUUGCACAGUUGCAUGGCUCAAAUAAUCAAAGUCCCGGAUUUUUGUGUGAAAGAAUAUGUGAACGAAGUCAGAAAGUAUUUGAGAAGUUUAUUUAUUAUAAAAUUUUGAUUUCUUUGAUUGUCAUUGGACAACCUUUGUAGUUUUUUAUUUGGUUUUAAAUUUUUCAUAUUAUUUUCUGGUUUUUAAUUGUGUUUCUUAAUUCUUUAUGUCUAUUUUCCAACAGUUUACCUUCCAGAAUAUGAAAAAUAUUACAGUACUGAAGACAUAUUUUGUUGUUGGUUUAACAAAUUGAGCUAAUGGCGGCUUCAAUGCUAUUGCAACUUUGUUAUAAAUUUCCCCUCAACGCCAAGAGCCUACAAAUCACACUAGUAAUAUUGGAUGGAAUAAUAAUAUUUGGCUGACAUUUAAUGUAAACUUAAAAGUUAUAACCAUAACAACACAAUUAUUUUCCUUCUAGUUGUAUUUGAAUUUUACCAAGUAAAAAAUUUGAAGAAUCUAGUUGCCAAAUAAUCAUUUCAUACUAAUUACGCAACUCUAUUUAGUAUAAUUAACACUUUUCUCAUUAGAGUUUGAACCAUGGUCUUUUUAUUCAUUCAACACCUUCAAUCUUUAGAUCAAAUCAAUUGAACAAUCAAAUUAUUAUUAUUAUUAUUAUAAUAAUAAUAAAUCAUUAUUAUUAUUAUUAUUAUUAUUAUUGUUGUUGUUAUUAUUAUUAUUAUUAUUAUUAUUCAAUAGUACUUUUCCUGCAAUUUUUCCUUCUUUGAAUUUUUGUGAGUAGUGUUUAAUAUAUUGCAUUAGAAUUGCUAGUUUCUUUUAUAAAAAAAAGACUGCAUAAUAAUUAAUUCUUCUAAUUCAACAAAAACAAGAAAGAAGACAUCAAAUUAUAUUGUAUCAAAAUGUGAAAUUCAACAAAUAUAAACUCAAAAGUACAAGCAAUAGCACCAAAGUGGUAAGUAGAAGAAGACAAAUUACAAAGGCUUUUCACACCAUACAAUACAACAAAAGAUAAUACUAUCAUCAUAACCUCGUACUAUUUCAUCACACACAAUAAAGAAAGUAUGCAAUGUCUAUUGCAUCCAUUUAGCCAAAUCACAUAAUUCAAAUUGGCAAAUAUAACAAGUGAAGAAGUGUUUAAUUAAGGGCUAGAGGUUGAAGGUGGUGGAGAGAAAAAUGGGAUGGAUGGGAAAGUGGUUGGGAUUGAAGGAAUGUUGGGAAGGGAAGUUGCUGCCGAUGGUGGAAUGUUGAGAGAUGGAAGUGUUGGAAUAUUGGUAGGAAAGCUUGGAAGUGGCGGCAAAGUGACUUUAGGCAGAGAUGGAAUGGUAGGCAAUGGAGGAAGAUUUCCUUGAGGCAAUGUUGGAAUUGAAGGCAAAGGUGGCAAUGUUGUUUUGGCAUUUGGCAAAGUGGGAAUGUUUGGAAAAUUUGGUUGUGUAGUUGUUUGCAAAAGAUGGCGACCUUCUAGGCUUAUGCUCAUGCUUGAGAUGGUCACAAGAAAAAGUAAUGAUGUGAUGAAGGAUUUGCUUGAGGCCAUUGAUAGUUUGAUGAAUUGUAGGAGCUAAGGAGGCUGUUUGUAUAGAGAAAAUUUGCUUUGGAUUUUAUGAGAAGCAAAGGGAUAGUGAAUGGUCUUAUAUAGAGUAAGAGAGAUGUGAAGGAGGGUAGUUUGGAGAAUCAAGUGCUUUUGCAAUAUUUAGUUAGUUCAACUUCUUGUGUUUCACUUUGACUAAAGCAUUUUAUGUGGUUAGAUUGGUUGGCUACUAUUAGUUAUACAACCCCCAAACAUUCGAAUGUAUGAUAGCCAACUCUUUCUGUUUUACUAUAUUUUAAAAAGAGCAAAAGAGGAUAAAAUGGCAAGUUUUUAUAUAUAAAUAUAUUUAGUUUUAUGGAUUUGGUGACAUAAAAAUAUGUUAGAAACAGGAUGUAAUAUCUAAGAGUUGGUAAUCUAAUUGGGUUGAUCGCUGUUUUCAGAACUCACCCUUUUAAUCCAACAAUGUUAAUGAAUUCAACGAGGAUAAAACAUUGAAGUGUUGUUCUAAAGCUACAAGUAUAGAGGAUAAAACAUUGAAGUGUUGUUCUAAAGCUACAAGUAUAAAGGUCAGUUUCACAGUCCUAUAAUUAUUGUCAUCAACUCAUAUGUUAGAAAGAUAAAAAAAAUAUCAUAGUUUAAAAGAUCCAAAAUAACAUAAAAAACCUUUAAAAUUAAAAAAAUUCUAAAAUUUUGUGAGCAUGUAGACCCCCUUUUUUAAAUUUAUCUUUCAAUUAUUUUUUAAAAAACAAAUUGUGAAUUUUUUUUUUCGAUUUCUUCCAAUAAAAAAUGAAUUCUAAGGAAUUUUUUUUUAUUGUUUUGAGAAAAAAUAAUUUAUUGUUUUAUUUAUUCCGCAAAACAUUUUCAAGAAAAAAUUAAUUAAUUUUUUAGAAUCCGUGUGUAAAUAUGUAAUUUGCGAAAGUUAAGUUUUUCGGCAGAAAUAAUUACUUACCUCCAAGCCAAACUCAAUAUUGUCAUGACCUUUUUUACUCUGGAAAUUGGCUCAAUAUUGUCAUGACCUUUUUAACUCUGAAAAUUGGAACAUUGAGAAGAAAAAACAACAAUAAGAAUAGGUUAGAAUAAACAACAUACUCACAGGCUCACAGCAAUAUAUUACAAAUAGACUGGAAUAAAUAACAAUAUAUUGAUUCAUUCAUUACUAUAAAAUGUCGCCAUAAUGUCCUAGCAUCAAGUUCUCCCUCUCCCUCUAACUAGUAGGCUUCCCUUCAUCUAAUCUACUUUCUGCUUACAAGGCUUUUAUCGAUCUUUUCUACACUUUCCCAAAUCACUUUAUGUGAGAUUCUAUUAUCUUCUCCACAAUAGGUGCUAAAUUUCUAUUUCUCCUAUAUUUCUUCAAUCUAUUUAUGCGCCUCACAAAGAGAUAUAUUUUGCUUAGACCUAGUAUGUUUACUUAAAACACAUGUGCUACCCCAACAACCUUCCUUUCAAAUGUGAAAACAAGGAACUUCUGUGCUCCUAUAUUUCUUCAAUCUAUUUAGGUGCCUCACAAAGAUAUAUACUUUGCUGAGACCAAGUGUGUUACUUGGAACACACCAUAUAAGAGCUGACACUGUACCAUUUAGCAAAGACAAUAAAACAUCUAUGCAUAGAUAAAAUCCACCACAUCCAACUACCGGGAAAUGCAGGCAAUUCAACAAAACAUGCUAAUGAACAAAGGCCAAACUAUAAAAUAUUCAUUAAACACCUUCUAUGAUCCCUGUACUUGUAAGUUGAAAAGGCAUGAUACAGAAACCCGAAGAUUGACAAGUAGCUCAAAAUACAAAUGCCAUAAUGGACUCCCUAGCAAAUACCAGUUUGUUACCUUUCUAGCAGUUUGAAAAAUGCUGCAACGUUUCCUGACAGCACCAAAGAGUCAAAGACCUAAUAGAAAUCUUUACACCGAGAAAUUGCCUUUUAAGACAAAGGAUGAUGUCUUUAAGCCUCGAUCAAACAGACUUGUAAGGAUGUGAUGAAACGAAAAGAAGACUAGACAUGUUCCAUACAACAUGGUACAGAAAGUGGCCUCAACAUAUAACAUUGCAAAACCCUGAUACAGAAGGUGACCUCAACUUACAACAGAGCAAAGCCACACAACACCCCAGAAGAAAACAACAGAACCAAACAGAAAAAAAAAAUCCAAAAUAAACACUUGCAUGCAAAUAUGCAACUGUGAAAUGUUUUAUAUACAAAAUACUCACUAACAAGCAUGGUUAGAGUGCCAUCAGACAAUACAUAUGUAUAUAUGUCUUAAUUUUCAUGCAUACAGUCGGGAGUUUAGGGCCAAGUAAAACUCCAAAAAAAGCUCAUUCUUGCCUCAUUAGUGAGAGAUAGUAUGGCUGACUUAUUAAAAAGCAUCAAUCUAUAUAUCCUUCCUCAAUGGUACAACAAUAAUCUACAUGAUAUGAAGUCGUCCUCUUCAAAUACUUCAAAAACUAUAAUGUAUUGAGAUGCUGCCACAACUUAUUAUAAAAUCUAACAACAACAAGAAUUUCACAACAACUCAGCACCAUUUUAUGCAACAAUUGCAAACAUACAAGUAAUGACAUCUAUAGUCUACAAAAAUUAGAAAAAAGGAAUCUAGAAUGCAAAAUGACUAUUGACCUUUAACCUUAUCAUCUCCCACAACAUUGAGAAUGGGUAAGCUACUGAGGAACUCAUCAAGACCCUCAAAAAACCCAAUCCCUUCAAUAUUAUCCUCAGCAUUGCCAGUUGCAUUCCCUUCACGGGCACGCACUCCACGGGAAGGCUCCUCCACCUCAUUACUGAACUCCACAUUCAAAUCCAACUUCCCCAAGUUUCCAGCACCCCUCCUUCUUGAACUACCCGGUACAGCUUUCUUACUAGAAUCUAGCUUUACACCACUAGCAGCAGCAUCAACAGCCCCAACACUGUUCUCAUUCUCAUUCCCAUUCCCAUUCCCUGCAGCACCAGUAGCAUUCCUCCUAGGUCUCUCCCCAGCUUCCCUCCUAGCACUACCACUAGCAUUAGCAGAAUCUUUCCUAUACUUUUUACCACUAACUCUUGACCUCUUGACCCCUUUAUUCUUACCACUACCACUACCAUGCCUCCAAUCCCCAUCAUCAGAAUCAUCAUCACUAGGAUCAGAAAUAUCGAUAAACGCCGCAGCAGCCUCUUCAUCGUAGUAAACCCAACUCUUUUUCUUAUUGGACGAUUUCGAAGGGAAUGGAAAUAGAGGGCAUAACGGGUUCCAAUUAGAAGAAGCCCCAUUAACAUCUUUCAAAUCCCCUGAAAACCCUAAAGGGAAAAAACCCCAUGUACAAAACGAAGAAUCAAUCUCGUUCAAAGGUGGUGAACGUAUCACCACCGCAUGAAACCCCCUCCGACAACUCUGGCACCGCAGGGCACACUCUUCGUAACCCUUCGGAUACUCAUAAUAAACGUAACAGUAAGGACACAAGGUCCAGAAGCUAAUGCUACCUUCCGUUUCAGCAGCACUCGCUGUCCGAGUCUGCCGAGUCGACUCAGUGGAUUCGUUAGGGUUUCGAUUCUGCCUAGUCGGCUCUGUCGCGGCGUCUUUAGAUCUCGGGUUUUUCUUCGGCGUCAGGUUAGGAGGCGGAUACUGCUGAUGCUGAGGCACAGGUUGUGGCGGAGGCUGAUGCUGCGGAGGAGCCGGCGGGGAAGUGAGCAAUCGUAAGUCGCUAUCGUACAAAGCCUUCUUGGCAGUGUUGGAGAGAACAGACCAAGCAUCAUGGACAAGAGAAAAGGCAUGGCCGGAGAAGGCGAAGGGGUUCCGGUUAGGGUCAAGAAGGAGUGCGAGACGACGGUAUUGAUUAGCGAUGUGAUCGAUGUUGGUGGUGUAACGGAGGAUUUGGAGGAUUCCGUACCAAUCGCGGUGGUGGUCGUUGAUCCGCGAUUCACCGGCAAGGAGAGUGUCGAUGACAGCAAGGAGAAGCUCGGAGGCGUCGAAAGUAGGGUCAGAUUCGCGGGCACGGAUUGCGAAGGAGCGAGCACCGUGCAGGUCACGUGCGCUUAGAAGCUUGUUGGCGGUGUAAAGCCACCGCUCAGCUUCGGCUCUAUUCCCACCUUCCAUAGUAAUGGUGGUGGUGGUUGUUAUUUCAGUGCUGAUGAAUGGACGAUAAAGGACUCUUGAUAGUGGUGGAAUUUUACGUCAUCAGUUGACGGCGGUGCGAGGACACAAUGGUAAUUCUAUAGAAUUGGGUUCUGUCGGAACUGUGAAUGUGAUGACAUGGUUGUGGCUGGAGCUGUCAAUCACGUAUUACAUAUUUCCUUAACUAUAAGUUUCAUUGUUUUUUAUUUGAAAAAUAGAUAAUAAAUUUAAUGUAUCAAUUUUAUAUGUUGAUCAUAUCCUUCGUAUAUCAAUUUAUUUUUUUGACAUUUUUGUUUUUCAAGAUUAAAGUAAUAGUAUCGAUAAUUGGUAUAUUUGAAAAGUAGAUAAAUAAAUAUUCCAAUAAUUUAAAAGGAUGUUUAAAUUUGGAAUAAAUUAUUUUCUUAAAAAAUAUAGGAUAAUAUUAAAACAACUAAGUCUUAUUGGUACAGUGUAUUUAAAUCGAUUUAAAAAUGGAUAGAAUAAAUUAAACCAAUGAAGAGAAAUGCUAAACCAAAUUUAUUGUCAAAAACAAAUCAAGAUUUUUUUUCUUAUCUUUUAUCCAUAAAAAAUUAUUCACCUUAAUUUCUCACACAACUAAAUUCAGUUAUAAAAUAAAAUAUAUAUAUUUAUGUAUAAAAGAAAAUUAAAUUAUCUAAAAUUUAUAUUUAAAUACUUUAUUUUUUUUAUUGAUUCAACUAUCUUUUACUUAAAAUUGUAGUUUAGUAGUUUUUAUCUACCCUAACUAUAAGAAUAUCAACUAUCUAAGAAAUAAAAACAAGUAUACCUAAUUUUAUUCAAAUUUUACUCUCAUCUUUUAUCAAUUUGCCAAUUUAUAUCUCAUUCAAAUCAUUAAUUCUAACAUUCUCUCUCUCACUCACAUAAUUUUUUCCUCUCUUCUAUAUCACCCAAACUUUCUCUUAUAUAAUAUAUAUCAUUAACAUUUUCCUUUUUUCUAAUAAAUUUCAAUAUUUUUUCUUAUUUAUUUUUUCUUUUACUUUCAUAACAUAUCGUUGUGCAUCAUUAGGGUAGACUUGGAUAACUUGAAUUUGUAACAUAUUUAAUUAAUUUCAAUUGAUUAAUUUUAAAAAAAUUCAAUAAUUUUAAUAAAUGAUGUAAUGAGUCAAUUUAAUUCUAUUUACAAAAAAGAGAAAAAAACAGAACUAAUAAAAAAAUAGGUGAGAGCAUAGACAAUAUGUAUUGUGUCCUACAUAUUAGAAGACUAUAGCCUAUAUCUAUUUAUAUUUGGUCUCGUAUUAAUUAAUUAAUGAUUUAAUUAGAAAUAUAGUUAGAUUAAUUACUUAAUUUUGAUCAUUAAUCUACUAAAGCUAUUAAAUAAUAACAAAAAUAAUAACAAUAGUAUUAAAUAAAUCGUUAACAUAAUUAAUUGAUAUUUGCGAAAUAAUAUUUAUUGAAAUAUAAUUAAAAAAUAAAAUAUUUCAACGCAAGUAUUUAAAUUAUGGCAAGGGAAUUGCUAGUCUUUUUUACAAAAAGUAAAUAAAACUAUUGCAUAAUAACUCAUUUUGAAUAUUCAAUUCUUCAAAUUCAACAAAAGAAAAUAAAAGACAUCAUAUUGUAUAUAAAUUUGUACUUCAGCAUCAAUAGUAUAAAUUCAAAAGUACAAAGCAACGGAGCCAAACAGGUAAGCAGAAAAAAAAAAUUACAAAGGCUUUUUCACACCAUACAAUACAACAAAGAUAAUGAUAUAAUCAUAAACUCGUACAAUUUCAUCACACGCUAAAAGGAAAUGAUGCAAUGUCUAUUGCAUGCAAUUAGCUAACCACAUAAUGCAAGGUAGCAAAGUAACAAGUUAAAAAGUGUUUAAUUAAGGGGUAGAGGUUGAAGGAGGUGGAGAGAAAAAUGGGAUGGAUGGGAAAGUGGUUGGGAUAAUUGAAGGAAUGUUGGGAAGUGAAGUGGCUGGCAAUGGUGGAAUGUUGAGAGAUGGAAGUGUUGGAAUAUUGGUAGGAAAGCUUGGAAGUGGCGGCAAAGUGACUUUAGGCAGAGAUGGAAUGGUAGGCAAUGGAGGAAGAUUUGCUUGAGGCAAUGUUGGAAUUGAAGGCAAAGGUGGCAAUGUUGUUGUGGGAUUUGGCAAAGUGGGAAUGUUAGGCAAAUUUGGUUGUGUUGUUGUUUGCAAAAGAUGGCGAGCUUCAAGGCUCAUCAUGUUCAUGCUUGAG